This 253-nucleotide ribosomal RNA is filed under the name uncultured bacterium. RNAcentral's name for it is "partial 16S ribosomal RNA". It matches the Rfam family "Bacterial small subunit ribosomal RNA", at positions 524 to 776 of the family's 1533-position model. The record is from RNAcentral.
UACGUAGGGGGCAAGCGUUGUCCGGAAUCAUUGGGCGUAAAGAGCGUGUAGGCGGCUCGAUAAGUCUGCUGUGAAAGUCCAGGGCUCAACCCUGGAAGGCCGGUGGAAACUGUCGGGCUAGAGUCCGGAAGAGGCGAGUGGAAUUCCCGGUGUAGCGGUGAAAUGCGCAGAUAUCGGGAGGAACACCAAUGGCGAAGGCAGCUCGCUGGGACGGUACUGACGCUGAGACGCGAAAGCCAGGGGAGCGAACGGG